AAACGUAGGAGGCAAGCGUUAUCCGGAUUUAUUGGGCGUAAAGCGCGUGCAGGCGGUUUGGUAAGUUGGAUGUGAAAGCUCCUGGCUUAACUGGGAGAGGUCGUUCAAAACUACCAGACUAGAGAAUGGGAGAGGGAAGUGGAAUUCCGGGUGUAGUGGUGAAAUGCGUAGAUAUCCGGAGGAACACCAGUGGCGAAAGCGGCUUCCUGGACCAUUUCUGACGCUAAGACGCGAAAGCUAGGGGAGC
This 247-nucleotide ribosomal RNA is filed under the name uncultured bacterium. RNAcentral's name for it is "partial 16S ribosomal RNA". It matches the Rfam family "Bacterial small subunit ribosomal RNA", at positions 523 to 769 of the family's 1533-position model. The record is from RNAcentral.